AGUGAACGCUGGCGGUAGGCCUAACACAUGCAAGUCGAACGGCAGCACAGUAAGAGCUUGCUCUUACGGGUGGCGAGUGGCGGACGGGUGAGGAAUACACCGGAAUCUACUUUUUCGUGGGGGAUAACGAAUGGAAACUUACGCUAAUACGGCAUACGACCUACGGGUGAAAGCAGGAGAUCUUCGGACCUUGCGCGAUUGCAUGAGCCGAUGUCGGAUUAGCGAGGUGGCGGGGUAAAGGCCCACCAAGGGGGCGAUCCGUAGCCGGUGUGAGAGGAUGAUCACGCACACUGAGACUGGAACACGGUCCAGACUCCUACGGGAGGCAGCGGUGGGGAAUAUUGGACGAUGGGCGCAAGCCUGAUCCAGCCAUACCGCGUGGGUGAAGAAGGCCUUCGGGUUGGAAAGCCCUUUUGUUGUGAAAGAAAAGCAGCAGGUUAAUACCCCGCUGUUCUGACGGUACCCAAAGAAUAAGCACCGGCUAACUUCGUG
RNAcentral lists this ribosomal RNA (492 nucleotides) under uncultured bacterium. Its description in RNAcentral is "partial 16S ribosomal RNA". It matches the Rfam family "Bacterial small subunit ribosomal RNA", at positions 29 to 507 of the family's 1533-position model. The record is from RNAcentral.